Non-coding RNA from Podarcis lilfordi (Lilford's wall lizard), 10081 nucleotides. Lineage: Eukaryota; Metazoa; Chordata; Lepidosauria; Squamata; Lacertidae. The record is from the annotation of a GenBank genome assembly.
CUUCAGAGUUGGUGGUGUAAGUUUAAGGAACAAUGGAUGAUUGAGGGAAUUUAGACCAGGUGCUAGGGGAAACUAUUCUCUCCACAACCCUGGCUCUGUUCCUGCCAAAAUUCAGCCUGCUGUAAGUCUGGUAGGGCUCUAGCAUGGUUUCUAAAUUAACAAGUGCACAGUGUAGGUAGCAUUAAGAACACUAGCCUCUAUAGUUGAAUAUCUUCAAGAGAUUCCUGGGAGGGCAACAGAGGGCCACAGAACUAAGACUGACCCUCCAAAAUGAGUUAACAUUUAUGUCAGUCAAAAAUGGCACAAGUAUGAAGAUGCAAUUAUCCAAGAAAUAGGACACAUGUGUCUCUUGUUAUUUGCGGGUAUUAUCUAGACCUGUAUGUUGAAGACACUCAGUGAUAAAUUCAGUAACAUUCACCUCAUUGUGACCCAAACUGAGACUUCAGAUGGGAUCCUGUUGAAAUUAAAUCCUCCCCAAAAGAGGAUUUGCACAUCAAGAAGUGUGUGUUUGUGUAGGGUAGGAUGGUGUGUACAUUGCACUAAGCAAGGCAAGCAGUCUUAUCACUCAAAAGUGACAUGGUGAAGAGAAUCCAUAAGGAGGUAAUGGGCCACUACUAAUAAGUGAAAAUAAAUUCUACGUCUUCUGUUGUUUUGUGGCAAAAAUGAUUUAUGAAACUAAUACACCUUUCAUUUUUAAUGUCUGAGUUUCUCAGCACCUCACCUCCCCAACUCUCUAUUACCUGGAUAUAUUAUGAUGACAACCUUAUACAGAAACUCAUUUAUCUUAUGCUAUUUCUACCAUAUUAUUGCAAUUUUAAAAAUUUCCUUAAGGUUAGGAGCAACAUCCUGGGUAGAAAUGCAUCUAUUUGCCUUCAUAAUAGCCAGCAGGAAUGCACCUCUACCUGCCGCAUCUGAUCUGUCCAGCUCUUGAAGGCAUUGUUCUAUAUGGAUCCCAAAGCAUACACAGCUCACGAACCUGCAAAAUGCAGCGUCGACCUGACAAUUAAAGUGAGGUUUCAAACACUGUCACCAAAUCGAAGCACGUCAUGUAGCCACACCAGCAACGUUUUCAGGACAGAAAUAUCAAAAGAAGCUACACAGCAAGUAAAUGUAACCGAUAGAUGGCACCUACCAUUGACACCCUAAACCAUAUUGGAUUCCAGGACCUGUAAACGGUGCCACUGGCUUAAACCAAUUGGGUAGGGUGAACUGAAUGAGUCCCAUCAGCAGAAUCUCUGUAAAGGAUUUGCACAAUGGGACUUUCCCCUGUCUCCCCACCCACACACCCACUGAAAUUGUAUUGGGGGUGGAAGAACCCACAGAACAGUGUGCAGAGGGUGGGGACCUUUCUAUCUGCGAAGCUGAAAUCCUUGCACUGGUGGAAUGUUCACCUGAACUUCUCCCAUUGAGUAUGGGCAAACUGGCCUAUACAAGAUGAAAGACAAUGCAGUGAUAGGUUAACCAGUGCUGUUGUAACAUCUUUACUUUCAGCAUCUCAGCAGUGUUAUAAACCAGCACAUUUGUUGUUAGUGCAAUUAUUUUGGCUCGUUGCUGUUUUGUCAUCAGAUGGGGAAUAUGCUUUGCUUUCUCUUGACUUUAUCCAAAAAGUUUGAUUAAUUUUCCUGCUGCUCUCAGUAGGUUUCUGUUUCAUUGGUAGAACACUAUGGGCUCUCUUCUCCACCUCAUUUAUCACCUAUGCAAACUCUAGGAUAUUAAUCAAAUACUGGACAACAUGGAGAGAAACUAUUUUUUCUCUUUCCCCCCUAUGAAAUCUUCAAAAUACAAGGAAAUUCAUACCCUGUAGGGAUAAUUGAUAUUAUAAAUAGGCUUUAUUUCUUGCCAUAGUGUUCCAGAUGGUUACACUUUUCUCUCUUUGAAUACUUUCUUAUUGACACAAAUUCAAGAAACUUAGGAGAGAAGAUGAAGAAGGAGGAUGCCACCCAUAUGGAGAUCUGGAUAUUUCCUGUUUAGAAUGUGUGGUCUAAAUAGACAACAGCAAAUGGUGGCGUCUUAGGGUUGUCAUAUGUCCUCUUUUUCCUGGACACGUCCUCUUUUUCAUGGGUAUGUAAAAUGAGAGUCGUGAUAGCGAUCCAUAAUUAAAAGUAGAAGUCGGCAAAUGUGUCCUCUUUUUUGCUCUUCAAAAUCUGGCAACCCUAUGGGGAGGACACAUUGACCUCACAUUUCAGGGGGAUAGUUCCCAAAUUUGCCAUAUCAUUCAGCCCCCAGAGAGAGGCGACAUACACGUCUAACAUUUAGUAAAUAUUGUAAAUUGGUUCACCUAUAGUUCAUUGCAUUUGCCACACAAAAACAGACAAACAGCUUAGGUGCAGUUCCACAUAAAAAGCAAUUUGUGUGCACCAGCUCCUCACAAAGGUCUGGCGAUCUGCUAAAUAAUGGCAGUGCAACAUGUUAGUAUGGAACAGCUGUAAUCUGCUGAUGGAUAGCAACUAGUUCUUUUUAUGUAUGUGACCCAUUCCAAAAGAUGCUUGGCACAUGAAAUAGCAUCCACAUAGACAACAAUCACAUCAAAGCACAAUUCCCAGGAAUAGAGCCAGCGUCAUCAAAGCCAGCAUAUGAUCCAAUGCAUCAACAGUGGCAUAAUACAGUUUUAAUGGAUAAAAGAAGAAAAUGCUGAUUGCGUAGAAACUACCUUGGAGAUAUUGUGUACAUCAGCCUUUACUGUAUUUUAUAUUGUAGUAUAGCAACAACUGGCGUUCACACGGUAGCUUACUCCAUUGCCCCAAUAUUUCUGCAUUAUAUUUUAGUUUCCACGUGAUGUCACUUCUGGAAAUAUAGUGAAACAUAGCAUAAGUUCAGCAUUCAUUUCUGUGUUAUUUGCUUUCAGAAAAUAUCUGUUUGCAAAUAUCAUGGAAAUGAGUGCUAGACUUGCACUAUGUCUACUGUAAAGUGGCUUUUAUGUCACGUGAAAGCUCAAGUAUAACAAUGCAGAAAUGAACAGUUAGGGAAAUGUCAGGGAAAUGGAAAAAGCUGUCGUGUGAAUGCAGCCUAGCGGAAUCUGCAACAAAACAUUGAACCACAUCCUCACCUCUUAGCAGGAGUACUCAAAUUCUAGGUUCCUUUCAGGUAGCCAUAUCCCUCUCCAGGAUUCCCAAUUACAAUACUGCCCCACCUCCCAAAAAUCUCCCUCCCCUGACAUUUAACAUUCCACAGCUACUAAGCAUGCACUGUUGUAGUAGGGAUUGCUCCUUUAAGGUUGUGGUUUGGCAAAAUCCUACUUCUGCAAACCUUGUUCUCCCCCCAAGUCUACUGAUAGCUCUUUCUUGUUUUUCAGCCACCCCAUUUGGUGACGUAGUCAUUGGUAUUCACUGCCUGAGUUCGCAAUUAGAGAAAGGGUUGAAACUUAAGAAUGCCGCUUGUAUCUGGAAGGCCAUAUUAGGUUGCGAAAGAGGAAGAUUUUUCUGCUGCUGUACUUUGUAUGAUUUGCAGAUGGAUGUACUGCAGAUGUGAGUCAACUCCCCCCCCCCAUACCGAGACAGCUCAUUAAAUUUCAUUAUUAGUCUUCAGCUGCUGUGGAUUUGAAACUUUAAACAAUAUGGUGUUUUGCAAAUGCUCUCCCUGAAAAUAAGGAAACAAUCUAUUUUAUUCUUCACCUCAAGUAACAUCAUACCCGUUUGAACUCACACCUUUUGCUCUUCUGCAGAGUAUUUCGCUGUUUACAGGGUUCAGUUUGCAUUAUAUUCUUGCCUUCAUUAAAGAUGCCAGAUCCUCGUCAUCUUCUACUUCUUUUUUUGGCUAUUCAAAACAAGAAAAUAAAUAAAAAUACAGUUAUUUAUAAUUCAUGGUAUAAUACAGUCUAUUUUCGGCAAUUCUAGUGAUGGUGCGAUAUCUCAGGCUGUGUAGGAUUGUAAUUUCACAGAGUAAUAAACCAUCUUGAUCAAUAGGAAAGGGAUACAUAGGUCAUGCCUACAAAAGCCAGUGCAUGGUUUACAAUCUAUCACAUCAGUAUUGAAUGGAUUGCUAGACUGUUUUUAUGAGAUAUUAUUAUUUUAAGAGCAUUGAAAUGCUUUGAGAUGUCAUUUUUGUUUGCAUUUGCUGCUGGUUGUAAAACCACCGCCACCACCUUUUAUUGACAUUGGAUUAGAUAUAUACCGCUGUUCUACUGCUGCUAUUAUGAAUUGUCUAUUGUGAUUGUCAAUUUUGCUAUGUAUUGCUGUUCGCAUUGCCAGCGUAAGCCUCUGUUCACAAACUUUUCAAUGGAACAAUGGCAUACUAAUAAAAACUGAUGAUCAUGGUGAUUAUGAUGAUAAUAGUAGUAAUAAUAUGGGUAAGUUACCUAAGGGAUCUUCAUAAUGCCUCACAUUACAUUUUGUAUUUUAGAUCAAACACUUGUGUAACUGGUAUUCUGCAACCCAAGUCUUUUACCAUUAUUCACUCAUAUCGGGUUUCCCACACACAACUGAUCGACAGCCGUCACCUGAAAGCUGAUCACACAUGCAGGAGAACAUCACUUCCAGGACUGUACCACAUGGUAUGGCAUUAUUUCCAAGUGGCAAAUGAUUCUGCAGAGGGAUGUGUGUCCCAGCUGCAUCAAAUGAAUUUUAUUCAUUCAUUUAUUAAAUUUACUGCUCACAUUUUCCUGCCAAAGGCAACUCAAAGUGACUUACAGACAAACAAGCAAACAAAAACUCACACAGACUUUAGCUAAUGGGGCCAACUGCUGCCGCCGUGCAAUUUUUGUUCUCACCCUGAAGCAAAGUUCUUAACCCGAGGUACUAUUUCUGGGUUAGUGGAGUCUGUAACCUGAAGUGUAUGUAACCCGAGGUACCACUGUAUUAAAAACAUCCCAUCAACCUACUGUUACUGAAAGUGGGUGUGGACAUUAAAUUCCAACUGUAUGCGUAUGGCUAGAUUUCAUCUAUUUCCCCCAUUCCUAAGAUAUUGAUUGAUUGCACUUAUAUCUCACCUUUUUCUCCAGGGACCUCAAAGCAGCACACAUGUGAUAAGAGAUUGUGUCUUGUCUAAAGCCAUCAAGUAAUCUGAUAAAAAAAAAAGAAAUGGGGAUAAUGAGAUUAACAGAUCAAAUAUCUUCCAUUUCAUGCCUUUUUUAGGAACUGACCUAUCAAAAUUUUGAAGUUUUAUUCUCUCUCUCCUUAUCUAAAUAGGAUGGUUUUCUGCUUUUGGUAGUCAACUCAGAAUGUGGCUGGGGUCUGCUGUUAAGUGUCAAACAUAUGCAAAACCUGAAGUGGCCCUCCCCCCCCCCCCAGCAAUAAGUUACACACUCCAUUUCUUUACAUUUCAAAUUUCCUGUGUAUUGUGAUAUGAUGUGCGAGGUAUUACUGCAUCAUUCUUGAUCGUAUUACCAUGCGACAUAUAUUUCAGUGCAUCCGUUUGAAAAAUAUGCAUGGGGAUAAGAAGAUAAAAUGACACAAAAUACAUUUCACAGCGGUAUUUUGAUUAAACAACCUAGCCUGGUAAUUAAAUGCCCCUAAAAAAAGAAUGGGAAUAUUAAGUGUGACCUAUUCCUGUGUUGAUCCCAGCCAAACAAUAUCUCAGAUGGAGAAAUGAAUAUUUUGGGGUUAUCUCUUUCAUGGGCUUGGAUCUUACUUUUCUUUCCAUGGACAAAGCAAUGUUCAUGCUCUCCCCCUUUCCUCUGCAGGUCCUACAUACAAACCCAAACAAAACUCUGAGAUAAUGGAAUCUUUGGGAAUGGCAUAAGAUAUUGCAGGGAGCUGCAGAUGGAGCAGGGAGAGAAUUGGUGCAAAUUGCUGCCCUUUUAUGAAUGGAAUAGCAGUUUAAGAGCUAAGCCAACAUGUCUUUCUGAUAUGGAUAGCUUGUUAACCCUGCUUCCAAUGGGAAAUUUGCAAGGAUCAGUCCAAAACUAUGCAGCCUCAGUUGCCAGGUAGGACAGGUUGCAGCCAAAAUUGCCAGGUAGCAUAGGUGAUGUAUGAAUCUCAACUCUAUUUUAAUAGUCUUUGACCUCCAAUUUCACACAUAGCACAGUCACAAUGGUUGGAUCACUACAGAACAAAAGGGAGGAGACUCACAUGACUGAAUAUUCCUCCAUACAAAACCUCCCUACACACACAAAAUCGUAUGUUGCAUCUCUGCACUUACUCCCCUCACAGCAAAGGUGUCAAUUUUCUAUGUUCUUGAAGACCAUUCAAGUUAGGUAUCCAGGGACAGACCUUGUCACUGCGACAGGUAGCCAAGAAUCUGGAACACAGCUACAGCUACAUGCAUAUGUCUGGGAAAGCGCUUAGGCAUUUGGAAGGAGAUUCCAUGACCUUUCUAUAUUUUUCUAGAUUCAGGUCUUAAACUCAUAGCUAUCAUUGUAAUAUAAAAUAAGUACAUCUCGUUGCCAUUUACUGUUCAUUUACCUGCAGUGUUGGAAGUUAGCCCUCUGUCCAAUGAUACCUCCUUACAACAGGGUAAAUGUCAGUCACGUUAAUGAGACUAAUCACGAUCACUUUUAAUUGUGUUCCAGCUUGCAGGAAUUUAAAAUGAGCCACUUCCCCUGCCACUUUCUUCAGCAGUCCAAGGCCUUUGAAAACAUAGCUCAAAACUGAAUUAUGGUCAUUGUUGUAAUGGUUGUAAUAAUUGCAUAAAAUCGGAUACUUUAAGUUAGACAGAUACUGAAUUAAUCUUUCCAAGAAUGAGAACAGAUCAAUCUAAGGUUGUUCAUGAGCUAUCAGCUGUGUUCAACUGAUCCUCAUGAUAUAUCCAAAACACUUGUGGAUGGUGAAGAAAGCCCUGCAGUCUUCGUCUGUAAAAACUUCAUUGCUCACUUUUGGGAUAUACUGCCCUUCAUGUAUCAGUCUGCACCUCUCACCUGUAAAUAUUCAGUAUUAAUUGUACUGGAUUUAUUGCAAGUCACUUGUGACUGGAACAUUCAAUGUCACCCAUCAGCAGUAUUUUUUAGGGCCUAUUAAAGCCAAGUGGGCACAAUGCAUGUUAAAAUAAUAUACUGUGAAAUGCUUCACAUUAGAUUAAUCAAGUAAGGAUAAAGAAUAAUUCUAAAAGAAAAUAAAACUGUUUCCAUUUAUUAAUUACAAAUUGCAAUAAUAUUGCAUUUGCUAUAUUUGAAAUUACACCAAAUUGCUCAUUAUCAGAUGAAUCUGGUCUUUGGUGUGUAGUAAAUGAAUGUGGUUUGUCUUAAAUGAAUGUUUUCAGGAAAAUAUAUUUAUGAAUAUUAAGUGCACAGAGGAAACAAAUGGUUUCUCAUCCGCAGAAUGAACCCGCUUUGUAAUGUCCUUGAGAAAUGUGUGUGCUCUCACAGUUACAUAAAUCAGCCUUACAUACACAUUUUAAACCUACCUAUUGGCUUCUCUUUUCGCUGAUUACAUUUCAGCUUUCUUUAGUUGUUUUAUUACUGUUGUAGUUCCAUCACACAUUGCUCCCAUGAACAGAAUGGAAGUAUUGAAAGUUUCCAUACAAAGGCUUCCGGCUACGUCAGGAGUCAAUGGCAGUAGCUCCUUGCUGCCUUCCCUCAGCUUGCAUCAGUGGCUCCUCCAUGAAAGAAAAUGCCUUCAAUUAAUGGAAGGAGCAGGUUUAAAUUGCUGUCCAACAACACAGAAACCAGAUUGAUCAAAUCCGACUCCUCUUUUGCAAUGAACAACUGCUUUUUUAAAAGAAUAAUAUUUUUAAAAAACAUUUUUAAAAUGUUUUUGUUGAUUUUUUAGUAUUUACUGUCAGCAUUAUCUGCAAGGCCUAGCCCAAAAAUCAUUUCUUUUAUUUGAGAGAAAGGGGAAGUUAAUUAGUUCAGAUUAUACUAAACUCUUUAAGUGAAAGUUUUUUUUUUCAUGGUAGAGACUUCAUAGAACCUUCUAGGUUGCACAUUAAUUAUCUUUGCCUUGGCUUCAUGCUGCUUUAAUUAUAUUCAUUAUUUCUGUCACUCUUCAAAAUAUCAUAUAUGGAACCUGUGGUCACUUGAUGCAUAACUAUUACUCUUCUCCUGCUGAGUUGCUGGCUUAAGUCCAGGCUGUAGCACAAAUGACUAACGCUGAGAAGUUAAAUAUGGUCCCUAGUUAAUUUAUAUUAAAAAAUAGUCACUUAGCUUUUUCAUUAGCUGGUACAGGUACUUUUUAUGUGUGUGUUCAAGAUGUCAGUGAUAAAGCCUUUGUGACUGUCAUCUCAGAGUGGAUGAAAAACAGGCUGUUGGCUUGCAUGUGUUAUUAAAAGGGACUCACAGUCACUGGUAGACCCAGGCAUUAAAGAAUUCUACACUGCAACCAUGAGUGGCUCUACAUGUCUUCUUAUGUAAAUGUGUCCAUGUAUGCACUGUACAACACAGUCUUCUUUACAGAAGGACACCACUGAGAAAUGGUCUCCAUAGGCCAUAGACCAUAGCCAUCUGGUGACUAAAUUCCAGAGUGAGCUUAUUUUACCACAAGAGGAAGACAAAAGGCCUCCACUGAAUUCAGAUAACCCAUUCCUCAGACCAAUUAAAAGAGUGAUGGUGGGCAGGGGGAAUAAUGUCCUCAUGUGAAUACAUAUUAAUUCUGUAUGAAUCUUUUCCUAAAUAUUUGAAGGUGAAAGCACACUCAGCAUUGUAUCCAAUGGAUCUAUGAAAGUCUUUUCCUUCCUUGUCUAACUCCCUGGACCCUCAGAAAAGUCUAUCCAUAGAGUCAGGGUAACCUACUGAAUGAUGUGCCCUAUGUCUUAUGGCAGUGGUGGCCAAACUUGGCCCUCUAGCUGUUUUGGGACUAAAAUUCCCAUCAUCCCUGACCACUGGUCCUGUUAGCUAGGGAUGAUGGGAGUUGUAGUCCCAAAACAGCUGGAUGGCCAAGUUGGAUGACCACUGUCUUAUGGGAUUGCCUCUCACUCAAAUAACCAAUGGCUCUAACCCUCCAACUUUUCCCUGAUGAAAUCAGGACAUGGUGUCUUUUGGUGUCACACAUGUCAGCUGGGUCACGCAAGAGUGCGGCACCACUGCAAGUGUCGGCUCAUAGCCAUGGACAUUCCAGGAUCAAAUCAGAAGCUGGGAUGGCUUCUGUAAUUCCAGGAAUGUCCUGUUAUUAUGGAGACGGUUUGAGGGUAUAACAAAGCCACAUAGCUUGCUUAAAAAUGCAAAACGAAAUGCAAAAUCAUUACAGUAUAGUGCAAUAGAAACCAGAUCAUUUAUAUUAUUGUAGAAGAAUUUUUUCCUAAAUGCAGAUGCUGUCUUCUUAAUUUUUUAAUGUUUGCCAAUAGUUUCAGUAUCUCCACUCAAAAUCAGAGUGCUAAAUUUUAAAUUUUUAUAUUGAAUGUGAACGUCAUCCUCAAAAUCUGGCAUUUGAAGUUUCCAGCUCAAAGUUGUUACAUUAUCGGCGUUUCCAUGUGCUCUGGCUUCUGUCACGGUGUUCUGUUGUGCCAGACGUGGUUUAGUCAUGCUGGCCAUAUGACCCAGAAAACUGUCUGUGGACAAAUGCUGGCUCCCUCGGCCUGAAGCAAAAUGAGCGUCACACCCCAUCGUUCCCUUUGACUGGACUAAACCAUCCAGGAGUCCUAUACCUUUACCUGUUACAUAUUAUUUACCAAAUUCUAUCAAUUUCCACAUACAUAGUUGCCUUUGACAUCAUGGUUAGUUAACCCCACAUUUCACAUCGUUUCUCAAAUAUCAAGCUUUGAAACAACAUAUUGCUGUAUGUCCAACAGAGAUUUCAAUUGGGUGGGUAGGGAGCAUUUUGUAAAUAUUUAUAUAUUUAGAGAAUAUCUUAUGAAUUUCGGUAGCAAUAUAUACAGAAUUUUGAGGAUGAUUUGGGAAUGUAUUCUUGUUGUAAUUACAUACAUUUGAACUUUGUUGUGAUUUGCACUCAAUUGUGAUUUCACUGUAAAGUUCCCACAGUGCUUAACUGUUCUUUUAUAUUGUAGCUUUGGUGUAAUAGAUGCUACAUCCUGUCCCAAGUGCUCAUGUUAUGGUGCGAGAGGAGUUAGCAUGCAGCCAUUUGCAUAUAAAGUGCUUUGCAAUUUAGAUCUAAUUCAUCCUCACAACUUCUGUCAGAAAAGUAAUUAUGGGUUUCAUUUUACAGACUGGGAAUUAAAGGUGAACAGUGACUUGUCAAAGCCACCUAAUAAGAAAAUGUGAUCUGAGAAACACAUAUUCUGCUUUGGACUUAAAAAAAUAUUGGAGAUUGUGUGGGGC